GUGAACCUUGUACUUUAUAUUUAUUUAUCAAAAUGCUUAUUAGUUUAUGGUAAGUAAGUAAGUAUUGUAAGUGAUUAUUUAUUAUAGUGACUUGUGUAAUUACCAUGAUUACAGUAGUCAUGGUAGUGUGUCAAUUUACUGGUAAUACAAUCAUCUUUAUCUUGUAAGGAUGGAUUAUUUAUUUGCCCAUAUCCAUUGCCCUUUUAUGCCUUUGUGCUACCCCUGGAUGAAAUUUAAGAAAUAUACUUAGAUGGUCAAUAGACUGUAUAACCCCAGGUUUAAUUUGACAAAAUUCUAUAAACAAUGAUAUACCAUAAAAAUGUAUGCCGUCUGAGGUUAAAAUAUAUAUAUGCUUUUUAUUCCUGUUAUUCUUUUUCUAUGUUUUGUGUGCAUUGUACCAUUAAGCC
Molecule: long non-coding RNA, 407 nt
Filed under: Mytilus galloprovincialis (Mediterranean mussel)
Lineage: Eukaryota; Metazoa; Mollusca; Bivalvia; Mytilida; Mytilidae
Source: RNAcentral